GAUGAACGCUAGCGGCAGGCCUAAUACAUGCAAGUCAAGGGGGACAGCAAUGUCACCGGCGGACGGGUGCGUAACGCGUACAGAACGUGCCUUUGGGCGGGGGAUAGCGUUGGGAAACUGACGGUAAUACCCCAUGGCAUCGAGGACCGGCAUCGGUUUUCGAUUAAAGUUACGGCGCCCAAAGAUCGCUGUGCGUCCGAUUAGCUAGUUGGCGGGGUAACGGCCCACCAAGGCGACGAUCGGUAGGGGGUGUGAGAGCAUGGCCCCCCCAACGGGUACUGAGACACGGACCCGACUCCUACGGAGGCAGCAGUAAGGAAUAUU
This 324-nucleotide ribosomal RNA is filed under the name uncultured bacterium. RNAcentral describes it as "bacterial SSU rRNA". It matches the Rfam family "Bacterial small subunit ribosomal RNA", at positions 28 to 365 of the family's 1533-position model. The record is from RNAcentral.